UAGAAAGACACAGAGCAGCAACUUGUAGUAGAGCCAGCUGGUGGUGUGUGACAGGAGCACUGCAUAGCUUAUGGAGAGCCAGAUUCUAUUCCCAGUGACCGAUCAUCAUUGUAGCAGCCAAUUGGUAAUAGCACCCUCCUGUGCGGAUCCCACUGCUUCCAGUGGUGCCUGCUUGCUGGCAGGCAUCUGACAGAGCAGAAAAGUUAUGGGCUCUAUUGACUGUGUUGCUGGGAACUAGGCCAUGCAGCCUGCCCUCCCUUUUGAAGGACAUCCCUGGAGGUAGCCCUGCUUUGGAGUAACACAUUGGGAGGAACAGAGACAGUGUCUUGCUGCAGCUGCAGACAGAGGUCAGCUCACAUUGGUUCAUUGAGGCCACCCUAACCCUUGUAGCACAGGAUAACGCAUGUCACAUGCUGAAAAAAUCAACAUAGAGGCUGGAUAUUUCAUCCCUAGCUUCCUACAUUUGGUCAGGAUCUGUCACGUGAUCGGCGCUCUACUUCCGGCAAUCCCAUUCCAAUCAGAGGAUGACUGAAAACAACACAAGAUAUAAGCAGUACAAGACAUAGUGACAGCAUCAAUAAUGCAAAUAUAGAACAUCCUAUGA
Pseudophryne corroboree (corroboree frog) is the source of this 604-nucleotide long non-coding RNA. RefSeq lists it as uncharacterized. The transcript is spliced from 3 exons. Lineage: Eukaryota; Metazoa; Chordata; Amphibia; Anura; Myobatrachidae. The record is from RefSeq and is a predicted model, not a curated record.